ACUCUACCGCCUUGUCAAGAGCAACCACAAAGUUUUAUCUAUCAUCUUAGAUAUGGUUGAAAGAACAACCACAAAGUUUUAUAUAACAUCUUAGAUAUGGUAGACAGCUCCCUUUUUUUGUUGUGGAUAGGAUUAUUACAACUUUUGAAGGAGCUGAAAUCUACCAUGGAGAGUCAAAGAUCUCUAAUAUUCCAUUUGUUGUUAUUUUUAAUUUUUUGUGAAGAAAAUAUUCCAUUUUGUAUGAAUAGUUGCUGGAUUUUAGGAAGCUUAACUUCAAUACUUCUCAUUUUUUCUACACCAUCUGUCUUGGUAUGAGAUUAUUGCAAAGACAUUUAGGGGUCAUUUGCUUCAGUUCUUGGAUAUCCUUUUGGACUAUCUAUCCCACCUUCAAUAUCGGAUAACUAAUACCACCAUUUUGGUAUAAAACCUAUACUAGUAUUAAAUAAUAGAGUGUUUUAGGGGAAGCAACAGAGUAUUGAGGUACUGGCCAGACAGAUAGUUCAAGAAAUCCAUUUUAGAGGUUCAAUGAAGGUGAAGAUUAAGACAAGAGGGGUUGCUCUGAUGGUAAGCAAACCCCACUUCCAAUUGAGAGGUUGUGAGUUCGAGUCUCCCCAAGAGCAAGGUGGGAAGUUCU
This 634-nucleotide long non-coding RNA is filed under the name Nicotiana benthamiana. RNAcentral describes it as "long non-coding RNA (NBEN_LNC002564)". The record is from RNAcentral. Lineage: Eukaryota; Viridiplantae; Streptophyta; Magnoliopsida; Solanales; Solanaceae.